CAGAAGAAAGAAUUCCUCUCUUUUUAACACUGAAGAAACAUGAUGACAAUAUUGGGUGUCACACUGAAUUCAGGAAAACAGAACAUUUUGCCAAGGAUGAAAACAUUAUUUGAAGCCCUUCACCAGGAGCAAAUGCUAUCAUUUCACAACAGAUGGAAAAACACUACAGAAAAUAGCAUCAAAGAUAUCUUUGCCAUAGAAUCUUAAAAAUCAGGUUCCAAGCAUAAAUAAUGGCAUUUAUGAGUAUACUUGCAGAGAUCAAUUUUAAAUUUGUAUGUUAAAGAGAAUAUACUGAGACAAGAGGAGAGUUCAGUGGCACAGAUAUGCACCAGAAUGCGGCUUAAGUGGUUUCUUCAGCACUAGAAAAAUUAAAGAUUAAUAUUUUGCCAAGAACCAUGUCUUGGGAGAUACUAAAACUAACAAAAAAAGAUGGAAAAACGAUCAAAUUGGGCCAAGCGAAAGGUUUCAUGGAGUAUCCCCAAUUGAUGAGUGCAGAAUGAAGCUAAGAAACAUGCUCCCUGAGAGCUAAGUCUUCCUCCAAGCACGCCAGGGAGGAGCAAAGCCAUAGUGCCAAAGCCCAGCAUCAUGGCCCUAAAAUGAGAGAUGCAUACAGUCCUUGAUACUUUAGAAAAUUAAAUAAAGGUUCCCAUGGGG
Molecule: small RNA, 654 nt
Filed under: Rattus norvegicus (Norway rat)
Lineage: Eukaryota; Metazoa; Chordata; Mammalia; Rodentia; Muridae
Description: uncharacterized LOC108351357
Source: RNAcentral